UAGGGAAUCUUCCGCAAUGGGCGAAAGCUUGACGGAGCAACGCCGCGUGAGUGAUGAAGGUCUUCGGAUCGUAAAACUCUGUUAUUAGGGAAGAACAAAUGUGUAAGUAACUAUGCACGUCUUGACGGUACCUAAUCAGAAAGCCACGGCUAACUACGUGCCAGCAGCCGCGGUAAUACGUAGGUGGCAAGCGUUAUCCGGAAUUAUUGGGCGUAAAGCGCGCGUAGGCGGUUUUUUAAGUCUGAUGUGAAAGCCCACGGCUCAACCGUGGAGGGUCAUUGGAAACUGGAAAACUUGAGUGCAGAAGAGGAAAGUGGAAUUCCAUGUGUAGCGGUGAAAUGCGCAGAGAUAUGGAGGAACACCAGUGGCGAAGGCGACUUUCUGGUCUGUAACUGACGCUGAUGUGCGAAAGCGUGUGGAUCAAACAGG
This 429-nucleotide ribosomal RNA is filed under the name Actinomycetes bacterium. RNAcentral describes it as "Actinobacteria bacterium partial 16S ribosomal RNA". It matches the Rfam family "Bacterial small subunit ribosomal RNA", at positions 355 to 776 of the family's 1533-position model. The record is from RNAcentral. Lineage: Bacteria; Bacillati; Actinomycetota; Actinomycetes.